UACAGAGGUCCCGAGCGUUGUUCGGAUUCACUGGGCGUAAAGGGUGCGUAGGUGGUGAGGUAAGUCGGCUGUGAAAUCUCCGGGCUCAACCCGGAAAUGGCAUUGGAAACUACCUUGCUGGAGGAUUUGAGGGGGGAUUGGAAUACUUGGUGUAGCAGUGAAAUGCGUAGAUAUCAAGUGGAACACCAGUGGCGAAGGCGAAUCCCUGGAAAAUACCUGACACUGAGGCACGAAAGCUAGGGGAGCAAACAGG
RNAcentral lists this ribosomal RNA (253 nucleotides) under uncultured bacterium. RNAcentral describes it as "partial 16S ribosomal RNA". It matches the Rfam family "Bacterial small subunit ribosomal RNA", at positions 524 to 776 of the family's 1533-position model. The record is from RNAcentral.